GGGGCUGUAGCUCAGGGGUUAGAGCAGUCGGCUCAUAACCGAUUGGCCGCAGGUUCAAAUCCUGCCAGCCCCACCA
Molecule: transfer RNA, 76 nt
Filed under: Candidatus Saccharimonadota bacterium
Lineage: Bacteria; Candidatus Saccharimonadota
Description: tRNA-Ile
Rfam family: tRNA
About the family: Transfer RNA (tRNA) molecules are approximately 80 nucleotides in length.
Source: RNAcentral